CCUUAGCCCUGAUGGAAGCGGCAUCCUUUUUAUUUUUUCUUUAAAAAUAAAAAGAUACAGCGGACAGCAGGAAACAGC
This 78-nucleotide small RNA is filed under the name Flavobacterium sp. 9. Its description in RNAcentral is "Flavo-1 RNA". It matches the Rfam family "Flavo-1 RNA". Lineage: Bacteria; Pseudomonadati; Bacteroidota; Flavobacteriia; Flavobacteriales; Flavobacteriaceae. The record is from RNAcentral.